Non-coding RNA from Saimiri boliviensis boliviensis (Bolivian squirrel monkey), 596 nucleotides. Lineage: Eukaryota; Metazoa; Chordata; Mammalia; Primates; Cebidae. The record is from RefSeq and is a predicted model, not a curated record.
UGAUGCUCACAGAUGCUGUUAAGUAGCCCAGAGGGCCAAUCCUACCUGUGGCCUGUUUGUAUUUUUUAAGGGAUGUAAAAAGAAGAAAAUAACGAAAGAGACCAAAUGGAAGCCUGCAGAGCCUGCCGUGUAGGUGGUACCCAGAGCCUGCCCCUGCUGACCUGUCCUCUAGCUAAGCCCAGCUCCAGCACAAGGGGCCACAUGUACUUCACCUCCUUGGGGGAGGCCCCACUGCUUGAGACCCCGGGCACCUAGGCUGCAGUACUGAUACAGAGAGUUGCCUUCUGGAGACUAACUCCCUGGAUGGAGCACCCUCUCCUACAUCCAGACCGAGAGGAAGCUUUGAGAGCCAGGCCUCCCUAAUUUCAAUGACUCGAGGACGUGGGCUCCCACAGCCUGGCUGCUCCACCUGCACACGGGGAGGCGGGGCUGGUGGAGGGGCCUGGGCUUCGGCCAUGGGAAGGGCUGGCCCUGACCUCUGUGUGACCGUGGCCAAAUAGCCACUCGGAGCCUCCCUUCGCUCAUCCUGAAAGCGGGGCUGGAAAGCACCCAUCCUAGGGCUACAGUGGAGAUUCACCGAAAUGAUGCAGGUGGUG